CACAGAGCAGGGUCUGGAGAGAAGAACCAUUGUGUCUGUGAAAGCCCACUCAAAAGACUGGGCUCUUCUCGCAAGGAAGAAGAGCAAGCAGGGUCCCGGGCCUGACCCCGCCUCGGGCCGCCCUCCAGGCCUGGAGCCAGUCCUGGGCCUUGUCGGGGGCGGCCUCGAGGCGCCGGUUGCUGGGGGAGCGGUGACGUCGCGGGGUGAAAGUUGAGGGGCGGUGACGUCGGGCCUGCCCGGGCGGAGGCUGGCGGGUUGGAGGCAGGAGGGAGGGAGGGAAGGAAGGAGGGAAGGAAGGAAGCUGGGAAGGAGCGAGCGAGCGGGGGCGCGAGGCGUUUACCUGGAGGCAGCGGCUUGGGCGCGCAGAGCGGCCGCGGCUCCCCCGCACCUGCGGCCAUGGAUGAGGAGCGCGCCCUCUACAUCGUGCGGGCCGGCGAAGCGGGGGCAAUCGAGCGGGUCCUGAGGGAUUACAGCGACAAGCAUAGGGCUACUUUCAAAUUUGAAACAACAGAUGAAGAUAAAAGAAAGAAACUCUGCGAAGGCAUAUUUAAAGUCCUUGUAAAGGACGUCCCAACAACAUGCCAAGUGUCCUGCCUGGAAGUACUCCGCAUUCUCUCCAGAGACAAAAAGAUUUUAGUUCCUGUAACAACUAAGGAAAAUAUGCAGAUCCUGCUGCGACUAGCCAAGCUAACUGAGUCUGAUGAGUCUUUGGAGAAGGUGUCAGAGUUCCCGGUUAUUGUGGAGUCAUUAAAAUGUCUGUGUAACAUAGUGUUCAACAGUCAGAUGGCACAGCAGCUCAGCCUGGAACUUAAUCUUGCUGCAAAGCUCUGUAACCUCCUGAGAAAGUGCAAGGACCGGAAAUUUAUCAGUGACAUUAAGUGCUUUGACUUGCGCUUGCUCUUCCUCCUGUCACUUUUACACACCGACAUCAGGUCACAAUUGCGCUAUGAGCUCCAGGGACUACCGCUGCUAACCCAGAUUUUGGAAAGUGCCUUUAGCAUCAAGUGGACCGAUGAGUAUGAAUCGGCCAUAGACCAUAAUGGACCUCCUCUCUCACCUCAAGAGACAGACUGUGCUAUUGAGGCCCUCAAAGCUCUCUUCAAUGUGACAGUAGACAGUUGGAAGGUGCAUAAAGAGAGUGAUUCUCAUCAGUUCCGUGUCAUGGCAGCUGUCCUUCGCCAUUGUUUACUAAUCGUAGGUCCAACUGAAGACAAAACAGAAGAGCUGCACAGUAAUGCAGUCAACCUUUUAAGCAAUGUUCCGGUCUCUUGUUUGGAUGUUCUCAUUUGCCCGUUAACCAAUGAAGAAACAACCCCAGAGGCAACAACUCUAGAUGAACUGCCCAGUGAUAAAACAGCUGAAAAAGAAACAGUUUUGAAAAACAAUACCUUGGUAUACAAUGGCAUGAAUAUGGAGGCCAUUCAUGUUUUACUCAAUUUUAUGGAGAAGAGAAUAGACAAGGGAAGCAGCUAUAGAGAGGGUCUGACACCAGUUCUCAGCUUAUUAACAGAAUGUUCUCGAGCCCAUCGAAACAUAAGGAAAUAUCUCAAAGAUCAGGUUUUACCACCGUUGAGGGAUGUGACAAAUCGACCUGAAGUUGGCUCAACUGUGAGAAAUAAGCUGGUGCGCCUCAUGACACAUGUUGACCUUGGAGUCAAGCAAAUUGCUGCUGAAUUCCUUUUUGUUCUUUGCAAAGAGAGAGUGGAUAGCCUCCUGAAGUACACUGGCUAUGGGAAUGCGGCAGGACUGUUGGCGGCCAGGGGCCUCUUGGCUGGAGGAAGAGGAGAUAAUUGGUACUCAGAGGAUGAGGACACAGACACUGAAGAAUACAAAAAUGCGAAACCAAACAUUAAUCUUAUCACUGGUCAUUUAGAGGAACCAAUGCCAAACCCCAUAGAUGACAUGACAGAAGAACAAAAAGAAUAUGAAGCCAUGAAACUUGUCAACAUGCUUGAUAAACUUUCCAGGAGAGCAGAUGUGAAGGACCUGCACCAGGAUGGUGGUUAGCAUCAGUGGCCCGUACCAAAGCACUUACCAAAGUGAUGACUAAGGUUGGUCAUGCCGAGUACUGUUACUGAGCCUGGUGUAGGGUACAGAUGUUAUUCACUACCAAAAUUGCAAAACCACCAAUGUAAAAAUUAAAAUAUUUGCAUUGGCCUCCAUGCUGGACAUAGCCACUGCCUCAGGGAGCUCACCACCUUAGCAGCUUUCUCUCAAGUAUUCCAAGGAUACUGAAGAGAUUAGUGCUCAAAUAUUUUCUUCCCAUUGAGUACCAAUUAAUUUUUUUUUUAUUUUUUUAAUAUAAGGAUAUUUGUGACAGAUAUAGAUAUGAGGAUUGGCAGUGCACUUUGAGGUUUGAAGAGUUUGGGAAGAAUCUGAACCCUAUAAAUCCCAUCAUGUCUCGCUAGUACAGUGCCUUGUACCCUGUGGUUUCACAGUGUAUGCUGAAUGAAAUAACAAAAACAGCUGAUCCCCAAAUUUAAGAGUCAGGCUUUAGCUCUAUAAAAUAACCUAUAAGUAUGUCAGUUCCAUUUUUUGCCCAGAUGUUAUAAAAUUCAGGGCUGAAAAGGAAUUCUAUAGGGUACUUUGGGCCCCAAUUAGCUAAUUUAAAUUUGGGUUAUAUAAUUCCUUUAAUAUAGAACAGUGGUUCUCAACCUUCCUAAUGCUGCAACUCAUUAAUACAGUUCCUCAUGUCGUGGUGACCCCCAACCAUAAAAUUAUUUUCGUUGCUACUUCAUAACUACAAUUUUGCUACUGUUAUGAAUCAUAAUGUAAAUAUCUGAUAUACAAGAUAGUCUUAGGCAACUCCUGUGAAAGGGUCAUUCGAAGGGGUCAUGACCCACAGGUUGAGAACCGCUGAUAUAGAAUGAUCACUAUAAUAUAUUUCAAACUAAAGCAUUGAAGCCUGAGUUACAAGAUUAUAGAAAGCUUCGUUUGCCAUUUUUAAUGUAAGAGCAGAGGUGGGAAGGGGGACGAAGUAUGUCUGCUUCUUAACCUCCUGUGUCUUUCUCUGACUUAGAAAAAAAUGAGCCCCUGCAACUUCAGCAGGAGAUAGAACGGGGAUUGUGUGUGGUUAACCAAGUCCACUGUGGCUAAUACAAUUGCAUUUGCCUUAGCUACCACACACAACUUGUACAUAGUAAUUUCGUACCUCCUCCAGAAAAGAGGAGAAAGUGUUGAUUGGCUUAAACUUUAACCAAGAGAAAUAAUAUUUCAAGUUACAGUUUUGUUUUGACUUCUCUAAUCCCCUUUAGUUUCUUCACUGGAACUAGAACUACUCAUCAAUCCACUACUACACCCUUACUCCCUCCCUACUUAAAACAGUCCACUGCUGCCUUUUUGCUUAUGUAUUCUACCAUCAAAAUCUAUGUUUUAACAUUUAUACUUACAUAAAUAAAAAUAAUUGUCCUACCAUUUAUUUCUUCCUUUUCUCAUCUAUUCCUUUAGCAAGUAAUUAUAAUUUUUUUUUUUUUUUUUUUUUUUUAGCCAGCCAUUGUGUACUAUAUGGGACAUGGCUUCCUUAAUAAAUACAGGCACCAAAUACAGGAAUAGUUCCCUUUAAUCCAAAGAUUAAUUUUAAACUUAACCAAGGUGAUUUAUUAUUGAAAGGUAACAAAUAUAUGUAAUAUUUUUAUAUAAAAAGGUUAUUUUAUAUCUCCUUAUAAAAAUAUCAACAACUGUGAUUAUACCUACCUUUGUGAUAAAUUAGUCAUGGAAAUGCUUUUCAGGUACAUUUCAGAAACAUGGCCCAUUUUUUAAAGCAUUGUAAGAUCUAUUGUAGGUAUAAAAGUAUAAAGAUCUUAAUUGUUUCCAUCAGGAAAUCCUUUAGCUCUGCACUGUUAACAUGCUAACCACUAGCUACAUAUGACUAUUGAGCAUUUGAAAUGUAAUUAGUCUGAAUUGGGAUGUCCUAUAAGUGAAAAAUACUCAUCAGGUUUUAAAGACUUAGUACAAAAAAAAUGUAAAAUAUCUCAUUAAUUGUUCAGUAUGAAUAACAUGUUGAAAUGAUACUAUUUUAUAUAUAUUGGGUUGAAUAAACCACAUUAUUAAAAUUAAUUUUACAUUUUUCAAUGUGGCUACAGUAAGAUUACAUAUGCAUAUGGCUUACCUUAUACAGUAUUUCUGUUAGACAAUACUGCUCUACAUCGCUAAAAUACGUGGUAAGAUUGCUUGGAAAUUCAAUUAAGAGGGCUUGGAUCUAGUUUAAUAUACCAUAAAAAUGGCAAAGUAAAACUACUUUGAAAAGAUUGAUAUCGUGUAUCUUUAGGUGACCGCAGACCCUUGUAAUGGCUGGACACGUCUGAGUAGGGUGUCACGCUACCUUCGUGUUGCCCAUUGGUAGUUACCGUCCUUUACACUGGUAAUGGGAAUGACUACUUUGAGCUUUCAGUUAAAGCACUAGCUGAAAUACUUUUGGCUACUAAAGAAACAUCAAAUAAGAAAAAUCUCCACUAGCUGUUUGCUCUCUUUGUUACCCUCUUUCUUUAACUUUUAAGUCUUCCUCAUUAGGAAGAACAUUAAGAACUUCUAUUUCUACUUUAUUCAACAGUGUCAUGUGGUCUGCUGACUUUUUAAUAUUCAUUUUGUUAAUGUGGACAAAAGAUAGAAAAGUUCUGUAAAUAAAUUAAAGAAAUAAUAAAGGACAUUGUCACUCGGAGAUAAAAGUGAAUUUUAUUCUUCCAGCAUUAUCCCUAACCUCUUUUCUCCAUUAUUUUCUUAACUGUGCUGUUGAAUGUGAACUAGAUAGCAAACUUUUAGAAGCUUUGCAUGCAGUCUUCUAACAGAAAUGAGAAAAGUAAUAAAGGACUAAUAUAAAUAGAAUGCUUUAAGGUUUAAAAAGGGUUUUCAUAUACAUUAUCUUCAUCAGUCCUUAAAAUAGCUUUAUGAACAGAGCAAGAGGUAUUAAGAAAUAAAUGUACUCAAGAUUAAGUGGCUAACCCAAGAUAAAGUGUCUAGUUACUGACAGCCGCCAGGACCCAAUUCUCAGUCUUUAGAUGCCAUACUGUAUGCUGUUGUCAUUCUGAUUAUUUUUAAAUAAGGCAUCUAAAUUUUAAAUAAAAAGCACAAAAGACAGGAAGCAUAAUUCAUCUUAGACGAUUACCAAGAUUUGGAGGACAUGCAUCUCUGCUUUUUCAUUCCAUAGUUGAGCUGUUCUAAAAUGUUACAUCAAGCACUAAAUGAAUAGUUGAUGUUAAAAAAAUAAAAAGCUUUAUAUGAGGGGAACCAGUAAAAUUUCUAUGAUUCUAUAUUAACACAGGCUUUUUUGUUGUUUUUAGAGGAGACUGAAUAUGGAUAUUCUAAUAAAUUCUUACACAUGUGAUCACAUUUAAUAAAAUCUAACUUUAAAAAGGGCUUCCCUAUGGGACUGUUUAGACAAUCCCCAAUUACUUUUACCAGGUAGAAGGACAUAGUGGCAUGGACAACACACCAUGUUUGUUUAUCUUGGGAAUGAUAUUUUUAUGUUACAUAUUUCACUUUCCCAAUUGUACCCAAUCCCAAAGCACAAUGGUGAAGGCUUAAGGGAGGGAUCUAAGAAUUGUUUUUGAAAGAUGCAGCCUGAAGACCUCAAAUUUGCUGUGGAUAAACUGCUAUACCCCUCCUUGCUACUGGGUUAGUGGCUGAAUGAAAGAUCAGUAACAACUAGUCAGCACUAGGAAGCCACUGAAUGAAAGGUGAAGGGAAGAUCAGCUCCAACCUAGAGGACAUUUUCAUAGCAUCUGACUGAACAAGUCAACCUGUUCCAAAGGUUAUAUUAUUUUUCUGGGGGGAAAAAAAAGGUUAAAAGUAUUUAUAAAAAUAUCACACAUUAUUGGGAAAUCCAUUGCACUUCAGUGGAUUAUGAGCUAUUCUGGUGAUACAAAACCUUGAUAUAAGAUGCACUCCCAGACCUGAAUUAUGGCAGAGACUACAGAGCUUCCUUCUGAGGGCUGUUACAGGCUCCAUGCUAACAGGCAUUUUUUGAAAAGCUCUAUGUUAAUUAAAAUGCUUUAUUUAAGUACUAAUGUCUCAUCCCAUCUUUCAAAUGUAAAAAGGAAUUAAAUAUGAAAUGGGUUCUUUUUUCCAAGCCAACCUUACAUUAAGAGCAGGAAUCCCAGUACCAAAGAAAUGGUUCCCAAUUAUCCUGUCUUGCGUUUUGUUACACAUUGUACAAAAGUCAACAAAACAAGUAUGUAACAGAACCUGCCUAAAUAGCAGCCACCCUCAUUAAAAAAAGAGAAUUAAUCAGGGGGUGAUUGAAGAAAGCAAUGCCUCAUAGGUUUACCCCCCUUUUCUUCUUUUCUAAUCAUAGAACAAAAUAUGUUACAUAAAAGAAUCGGAACUAUUAUGCAGUACUCAAUUAGAGGGAGGUGAAUAGGUCUCUAACAUGCUGUUUUAUCAAAAGAGCAGACUGGUGUUUGCAUGACUGUUGUUUCAUUACAGACCCCGUCAUUAAUUCCAUGUGUCAAUACUGCCCUGUAGUACACAGAGCAGACAAGAAAGAAGAGCCCUUGAAAAUAAGGGAAUGAUUUUUGAGUCGUUAUCAAGCUAAGUGGCAAGCGGGAAGCUGAAACUCGUAUAGUUGAACAUUCUUGGAGGCUUAUCUCUUCCAUGGCCAGAUGCCUGAUCAGAUGAGAAGCCCGCCAUGAUACUGUCACAGUGCCUAGAAUGGGCUCUUUAUCCAGUAGACAUCACUGUACUUUUUGAUACGAGGGCAGUCUUAACUUGUGUUAAGGCCUGUGUAUAGCA
This is an RNA transcript of Nycticebus coucang (slow loris), 6726 nucleotides long. It is a transcript of the gene named RIC8 guanine nucleotide exchange factor B, with no coding region annotated. Lineage: Eukaryota; Metazoa; Chordata; Mammalia; Primates; Lorisidae. The record is from RefSeq and is a predicted model, not a curated record. The transcript is spliced from 11 exons.